Molecule: long non-coding RNA, 463 nt
Filed under: Cricetulus griseus (Chinese hamster)
Lineage: Eukaryota; Metazoa; Chordata; Mammalia; Rodentia; Cricetidae
Description: lncRNA (ENSCGRG00015034959.1)
Source: RNAcentral
GAAAGAGAAGCCAAACUACUUCAGUUUCAGUGAAGAAGCAACUUUGGGCAAAGGGUUUGUUUUGACUCACUGGUGAAGGUGCAGCAGGGAAGUUAAGGUAUCAGAAGUCUGAAGCAAAUGGCCACACUGUGUCCACAGCCAGGAAGCAGAGCUCUGAUGAAUGCCUGUUGUUACUCAGCACCUUUCUCUGGGUCUAUAGUCCAGGGUAUUGGCCAGGACACACUGCCAGUCAAGGUGUGCAAUGUUUUGCGUUGCACGAAAAACAAAAUAGCCCAAGCUUUAAGCUGAAGAACAGAAAAGCAAAGCAGCUGGGCACUAGCUUCCACUCCGCCUCCGACUUAAAUGAGAUCCUGGCACCACCAAACCACAGAAUGAAGCCUUGCCUCAGCAUGGCUGGAGAAUCCUGAGACUUCAAUGUUUUCCUACCCUCAGUGUCACUGGAGAAUGAAUUUCUGAGACUGAC